This is a non-coding RNA of Microcebus murinus (gray mouse lemur), 248 nucleotides long. NCBI's taxonomy places the organism in Eukaryota, Metazoa, Chordata, Mammalia, Primates, Cheirogaleidae. The record is from RefSeq and is a predicted model, not a curated record.
UGCUUUUUUGCCUUGUUGGCUGAGGUGUCUACCCCCGGGUGUACCUGGAAUGCCAUGUGAAGUUUUGUAGGUCAGAAAUCUGGCAGAGGUCUCAUUGGGCUAAAAUGAAGGCAUUUGCAGCGUGUAUUCCUUUCUGGAGGAUCCAGGGGGGCAUAUCAGCUCAUCAUUGGAUCAUCUGCUUAUACUGACCAGUGGAGUCCUAAAUACUCUGAACCUACUUGUUGAUUGUGGGAGUAUCUGAUGCAAUC